This 445-nucleotide ribosomal RNA is filed under the name uncultured bacterium. RNAcentral describes it as "partial 16S ribosomal RNA". It matches the Rfam family "Bacterial small subunit ribosomal RNA", at positions 354 to 796 of the family's 1533-position model. The record is from RNAcentral.
GUAGGGAAUAUUGGGCAAUGGAUGCAAGUCUGACCCAGCCAUCCCGCGUGCCGGAAGAAGGCCCUCAGGGUUGUAAACGGCUUUUGACGGUGAAGAAUCGACAGGAUGCGUCCUGUUUUGACGGUAGCCGUUGAAUAAGCACCGGCUAACUCCGUGCCAGCAGCCGCGGUAAUACGGAGGGUGCGAGCGUUGUCCGGAUUUAUUGGGUUUAAAGGGUGCGUAGGCUGGAAGGUCAGUCAGCGGUGAAAAGCUGUCGCUUAACGAUAGGCCUGCCGCAGAUACUUCCUUUCGUGGAUGAGGAGGAGGCCACUGGAACGGAUGGUGUAGCGGUGAAAUGCAUAGAUAUCAUCCAGAACACCGAUUGCGAAGGCAGGUGGCUGUACCUUAAUCGACGCUGAUGCACGAAAGCAUGGGGAGCAAACAGGAUUAGAUACCCCUGUAGUCC